Trifolium pratense (red clover) is the source of this 1219-nucleotide RNA transcript. RefSeq lists it as uncharacterized. Lineage: Eukaryota; Viridiplantae; Streptophyta; Magnoliopsida; Fabales; Fabaceae. The record is from RefSeq and is a predicted model, not a curated record. The transcript has 3 exons.
UUUUAGGGAUAUAUGAUUUAUUAAAUGAUGUCUAAUUAUGUGCUUAUGUGUAUUUGUGUGUUUAUGAAUUUUAAAUUGAUUUUUGACAUGUUAAGUGUGUUUUUAUGUCUUGUGUAAUUAUUGUAGUUUGAGAUUAAAUUAGAUAGUAGUAUAAUUUAGGAGUUAGUUAUGGGAGAAAAUAAAUAAUUAGAGGUUUUGGACUUAUUUAUGAGAGAAAGAGGUAGAGAGAGAAGUUAAAAAGAAGGGUUUUGGUGAAAGUUGAAGAGAAAGAAGAGAUGAGGAAUGCAAUCUCGUUUUCAACACAGCAGCCUCACAAAAACUUCGAUUCCCGAUUCGUUAACCGUUGGAUUUCCUUGAAAUUUUGAGGGUAGGUUCACAACAUCCGAGACCAACUUUUGACCGUUCGGAUCGUUGAAACAAGGUCUGAGGAGGAAGAAAUCGAGUUCGGAUUGCACCAGAUGUGUUGGGGAGAAAAAGAGGGAAAAAGGCAAGAACAAGGUGGAGCUUCAAGAACCAUUGCCAUCCUCCAUUUUCUUUACAAUCAAAGGGCGUUACAGUCACACUUCUGGACUAUGGGUCGUGGAGUGGAUGUCUAUGGAGCAUGCAUUCUUUGUAAAUGCACCACAAAUGCUUGAUGAAAAUGUGGUUCGCAUGAAAGUGGCUCUACGUCUGUUAAUGGGUCCCCAUAAUGACUACUUCAAGAGUGUAUCGUCAAAUGCACUCUCUUAUUGGUCGAAAUUGAUCAACAAAGGGCCUGAAAAUGCCAAACUUGAAGGAACUGAAUCUUGAAUCUUUAUGGGAUAUGACGUGUGUCUCACGUUAAGUGCAAUAGAGACUCCUACUACCUUAUUUUCUUGAGUCUUUUUUUGAAUAGUAUCACUCUUUUUAACUAAUGAUCUAGAACUAAUGAUCCAAGAUCACAUGUCUUUUUUGGUUAUAUCACUGAUGGCCCCAGUCAAUAUUAUGUUUUGUAAUUGAAGACCAUAGGUUUGGGGUUCCAAGCAAGGGCCUUUUGUUUAUGUGUUGCCCCUUGUUUCUAUUACUACUAUUUAUAAUCUAUCUUGUGUAUGAACUAGAAAUGGAAAUGGUGUAGUGACUCCAAAUCUAUUGGUACUUAGACCAACUUGGUACUUAUUAUGUAAUUAUGUAAUGAUGAUUAUGCACAAAUUUAUGUUUACCCAUUUAGAUUUGUCUUAUUUUAUAAAACUUUCAUUAUCUC